Molecule: long non-coding RNA, 3210 nt
Organism: Ipomoea nil (Japanese morning glory)
Lineage: Eukaryota; Viridiplantae; Streptophyta; Magnoliopsida; Solanales; Convolvulaceae
Exons: 4
Source: RefSeq, a predicted model, not a curated record
UUGUAAAAGAAGAAGAAGAAGAAGAAGAAAGGGUGUGUAAAUGUGUACUGUGAAAGAAAGAUUUGAGGGGAUCUUGCCAUUAAAGUCGCUUUCUCUACCUCUGACUCUCAUGGCGAAAGCGACCCCUCACCCUUCGUUUGAUUUACACAUUCACCAUUUUCCUCCAUUUUUCUUCCGUAUUUCCUGCAAGAAAACACUCACCCUUUUCCUAACCCGACACUGUUCCUCCAUUCCAUUUACUACUACCAUCUCUUCCUUAUAAAUAUUGCUGUAUUUAGCUAAGCAUUUAUUCAACUCACCCUCCAUCUUAUUCUUUUCUGCACUUUUAAUUUUGUUCUCUUCUUCUUCUUCUUCCUCUUAUUCCCUGCUACUCUUAUUUGUUGCAUUCCAUUCUUCCUUUUGCAGCUUCAUCCAUUUAAGGGUCAAAGGUGGUACCUUUCCAGGUUUUUAUUUAAUUAUUUAUUUAUGAUGGGUAUGGUUAAUCAAUUGCUUUUUUGCAAUCUUAUUUGUGGAACAUGUAUUGUUGUUCUCUUAUAAGAAUUACUGUUUGUCUGGAAUGAUAUCCAUAAAAAGAGUUUACUUGAUCAAGAGAGAUCAAAUGGAUUUUUUAUUUUUGUUGGCUUAUUGUUGAUUUUAGGGUUUGUAGAGGAGUUCACUCUUCCAAUUAGUAAGGUUGGAUCUCCAUAGUGAGUUUAUUACAUUAAGAAAGAUCAAAUGGAUCUUGAUUUUUCUAGGCCAUCACUUUUCAAUUGAAAUUUUUGUUGGGAUUUCAAUUUGAUUAGUUCAAUUCCCAUUUUUCUUACUGAAGAAAUUUUACUAUUUUAAGUAUCUUUUUGGUUAAGAUGUCAUGCCUUUUUUUUUUUUUUUUUUUUUAAUUUUUAAAAUAUAUAUAUUAAGGUUGUUGCUUUGUUAAGUUCAUGGCUUUUGGCUUUGUGAUUGAUCCAUUUAUGAUCCUCUAUCUAGACUCAUAAGAUUGCCUGAAAAUGUUUUGAGCUAUUCCUUGUACACUGAAAGUUAUUUUCUAUGGAUGAUUAAAUUAAUAAUAAAGAUAUAUCUAUGUAUGCACCUUGAUUUUAGGAUUUAUAAAACCAUUCAAAGAUCAAGAAUAAUGAUAAUAAUAAUUUGCGGAGUGUUAGGCUAGAGAGAAAACGCCUCAUUUCUGCUUUCUAUGUUUUUCCUCCUUAAGGUAGAAAGGAGUGACUUAAAGCCCCAUAUCCAUAUUCUGAGCAGUAACAAAGGAGCGACUAGCUUCUUAUGUGAAAUUAUUUUCUUUUAUCAAUGAAGAAAUUAUCUUUUCUUAUUUUCUUUAAAGUGGAUAGAAGUUGCACAUGCUUCAACUUCAUUCUUGUUUUGAAGAUUUUUCAAUGUUCAUAUUCUUCAUUUAAUUUCUUUAACACCCAAUUUGGUUCAAGAAGUUGAUAAUCGCUGUUGUUUGUAUAUUUCUUUGUUAUUUUCUGGCAGGCUAAUAUCUGAAGAAAGUAACCUUCAUUUGCCCUUUAAAUACUGUUCAGUUACUCGGUUAGAAUGCAAAUUUCUUUUUAUUGGAAUUUUCAUUACUUAACAGAUGAUUGAGUUAGUGGGAUAGUUCUGAGUCUUCGUUUGUGACAAUACGUGUUUGAAUCUCUUCUGAGGAAUCUAGUAAGUUGUUGAAUGCUAAGUAGUUGGAAGGCAGGUUAAAAUGUUAUGUUUUGUGACAUUAUACCUUAGUAUUAAGUCAUGGUUUAUACUAAUGACACUGGUUACGUUUGCUGAAUUGAGGAGUGGUUCGAGAGAGCUUCCUUCAGCCCACUCAUGGAUGAGAUUGGGGUUGAAUUAGCUGCCGACUCAUUCAUCCAACCACUCAGUAGAAAAGAAGAUGUUUUGUGCUACUGUGAUUGAGUGAAUGAUGCGGGAGAUAGUUUCUAUCCCUCUCUUCCCUUGCUUGGACUGAAGGGAGCUCCCUUUUUCCAUGCUUUCAUUUUUUUCCACCCUCGGGGAUUUACACGUUUUCCUUCAAAUGGUACAGCUUUCAACAGGUGGGAUCUUCUCCUCGUCUCCGUCAUAUAAUAAAUGUGCCUGAAAGGCUUUUAAGUUUCCGUUAUGGAGAAUAAACUUGAAUUUGGCUUCCGUUUGUUGCAUCAGACUAUCAGAGUAGGAGUUUUAUUCACAAGAUUCAUCUUUGGAAAAUCAAAAGCCAAUUUCCCGAGCACUGAUGAAGGGUUAUUAUAAACAGCCUGACGUAUUAUUGGUCCCCGCCCCACUCUAGUCUUAAGUGGUAUUCACAGCUAUGAUAAUAUUCCCUGUCUUGUUCCAUUUCUAUUAUAUUCUCUCUGUGGCAUUUGGUACUCCGAAGAUUUUAGGUCCCCCGAAGUCUAGAUCUUGUAAGAAUAUGAUGUUCCAUUUUCUGGAUCGAAGUAACAAUAAGAAGGAACCGGGCCUCUCCUUUGGAUGCCGGUUGCUCUCUAGAGACUAACCUGGAUUCGAUUAAUUUUACUGAUCCAGAAGAUUGGCAUUCGAGUGGAGCAUAGAUGGAUGCAUUAACGAGUUUGAAGACAACAUGGUACCAUCAAAAGGCUUCAUUGAAGGCUGAGUGGUCCCCUCGGGGCUAAAGCCCGAGUUCAGGAGUUUGAACUCAUGUGUAUGUAACAACACCGGGAAUCCGGGAUGCAAAUACCGGUGCAGUAUGUAUAAAAGUAAAAAAAGGAUGAGCGGUCCGCUCGGGGAUGAAGUGUGCAUAGUUUAUAGUUUUUUGCAAAGUGUUUAGUCGAACGUCCUUAAUGGGUCGCUGAGUCACUCUGAUUUACUACCUUCACAAAUCCUGUUGAGCUGGGGUGUGGGGCCCAGGGCGAGGGAUUUCGUGUUCAUGUGGGCAAGUUGAACGCCCGACAGGGUGAUGGCUUGCACGUGUAUUUUAUUUCGUUGUGGACUCGUUUUUCUUAGUUGCUUUCCCUUUCAAAAUUGACAGGUCCAAACUGUGAAAAGAGGACCACUGAAAAUAUUUAAAGAUAUGUGAAUGAGACUACUCUCUUUAUCCUGUUUCUGUUGUUUGUUCAGCAUCAAAGAGAUUCCUGUCAGAUCAUAAAUCACACAACUAACAUUUUUGGAGAUAAAGAUCAGAUAAUUGCAGAAAUUAUGGUUCCCAGACCUCAAGCGAAACGACCAUCUGGAAAGCAGGGGAGUGUUUGUACUUUGGAGAAAGCGAGAACGAGAGCUUGGAGACUAUGAAAGACA